GUGCAGCAGCCGCGGUAAUACCGGCAGCCCGAGUGAUGGCCGGUCUUAUUGGGCCUAAAGCGUCCGUAGCUGGCCGCACAAGUCCGUCGGGGAAUCCGCCCGCUCAACGGGCGGCCGUCCGGCGGAACCUGUGUGGCUUGGGACCGGGAGGCCUGAGGGGUACGAUCGGGGUAGGAGUGAAAUCCUGUAAUCCCGCUCGGACCGCCGAUGGGGAAACCACCUCAGGAGAACGGAUCCGACAGUGAGGGACGAAAGCCAGGGUCUCCAACCGGAUUAGAAACUCCAGUAGUCC
Molecule: ribosomal RNA, 292 nt
Filed under: uncultured bacterium
Lineage: Bacteria
Description: partial 16S ribosomal RNA
Rfam family: Archaeal small subunit ribosomal RNA
Source: RNAcentral